Molecule: ribosomal RNA, 349 nt
Filed under: uncultured bacterium
Lineage: Bacteria
Description: bacterial SSU rRNA
Rfam family: Bacterial small subunit ribosomal RNA
Source: RNAcentral
GGGCCCGCACAAGCGGUGGAGCAUGUGGUUUAAUUCGAUGCAACGCGAAGAACCUUACCUGGCCUUGACAUCCUGCGAACUUUCUAGAGAUAGAUUGGUGCCUUCGGGAACGCAGUGACAGGUGCUGCAUGGCUGUCGUCAGCUCGUGUCGUGAGAUGUUGGGUUAAGUCCCGCAACGAGCGCAACCCUUGUCCUUAGUUGCCAGCAUUCAGUUGGGCACUCUAAGAGACCGCCGGUGACAAAACCGGAGGAAGGUGGGAUGACGUCAAGUCAUCAUGGCCCUUAUGGCCAGGGCUACACACGUGCUACAAUGGCAAGUACAGAGGGCAGCGAAGCCGCGAGGUGAAGC